UGAGAAGUCGUGAUAAGGAAAAUAGAAAGUUUUCUUCCAAAGCAAAUACCAAAUAAUGUUCAGAAUAUUUCAGAUCUACAAUGAUCUGAACAUAUCCAAUUAGUCAUGAGAUUAGGGUAUUUUAAACAACAGAGGUGAGAGAGACCUGGUCCAAAGUCAUAUAUUCAAACUGAAAAUAAGAAGAAAAUAGCACUCACAAACGAUAAUAGCCAUAGCUAGACCUUUGAACAGUCUUAGAACCUAAUCUUUUCAAUACUCUUUCAUACAGGAAUAGGGUCGAAGAACCAGGAGAGGUAAGA
RNAcentral lists this long non-coding RNA (299 nucleotides) under Nicotiana benthamiana. RNAcentral's name for it is "long non-coding RNA (NBEN_LNC022656)". Lineage: Eukaryota; Viridiplantae; Streptophyta; Magnoliopsida; Solanales; Solanaceae. The record is from RNAcentral.